RNAcentral lists this ribosomal RNA (425 nucleotides) under bacterium S1-009-16S. Its description in RNAcentral is "bacterial SSU rRNA". It matches the Rfam family "Bacterial small subunit ribosomal RNA", at positions 68 to 510 of the family's 1533-position model. The record is from RNAcentral.
GAUGAACCACUUCGGUGGGGAUUAGUGGCGAACGGGUGAGUAACACGUGGGCAAUCUGCCCUUCACUCUGGGACAAGCCCUGGAAACGGGGUCUAAUACCGGAUAUCACUUCCACUCGCAUGGGUGGGGGUUGAAAGCUCCGGCGGUGAAGGAUGAGCCCGCGGCCUAUCAGCUUGUUGGUGAGGUAACGGCUCACCAAGGCGACGACGGGUAGCCGGCCUGAGAGGGCGACCGGCCACACUGGGACUGAGACACGGCCCAGACUCCUACGGGAGGCAGCAGUGGGGAAUAUUGCACAAUGGGCGAAAGCCUGAUGCAGCGACGCCGCGUGAGGGAUGACGGCCUUCGGGUUGUAAACCUCUUUCAGCAGGGAAGAAGCGAAAGUGACGGUACCUGCAGAAGAAGCGCCGGCUAACUACGUGCCA